RNAcentral lists this ribosomal RNA (492 nucleotides) under uncultured bacterium. RNAcentral's name for it is "partial 16S ribosomal RNA". It matches the Rfam family "Bacterial small subunit ribosomal RNA", at positions 29 to 507 of the family's 1533-position model. The record is from RNAcentral.
AGUGAACGCUGGCGGUAGGCCUAACACAUGCAAGUCGAACGGCAGCACAGUAAGAGCUUGCUCUUACGGGUGGCGAGUGGCGGACGGGUGAGGAAUACAUCGGAAUCUACUUUUUCGUGGGGGAUAACGUAGGGAAACUUACGCUAAUACCGCAUAUGACCUACGGGUGAAAGCAGGGGAUCUUCGGACCUUGCGCGAUUGAAUGAGCCGAUGUCGGAUUAGCUAGUUGGCGGGGUAAAGGCCCACCAAGGCGACGAUCCGUAGCUGGUCUGAGAGGAUGAUCAGCCACACUGGAACUGAGACACGGUCCAGACUCCUACGGGAGGCAGCAGUGGGGAAUAUUGGACAAUGGGCGCAAGCCUGAUCCAGCCAUGCCGCGUGGGUGAAGAAGGCCUUCGGGUUGUAAAGCCCUUUUGUUGGGAAAGAAAAGCAGCAGGUUAAUACCCCGCUGUUCUGACGGUACCCAAAGAAUAAGCACCGGCUAACUUCGUG